UAAUACCUACGGGACGCAGCAGUAGGGAAUCUUUGGCAAUGGACGAAAAUCUGACCGAGCAACGCCGCGUGAGUGAAGAAGGUUUUCGGAUCGUAAAACUCUGUUGGUAGAGAAGAACGUUGGUGAGAGUGGAAAGCUCAUCAAGUGACGGUAACUACCCAGAAAGGGACGGCUAACUACGUGCCAGCAGCCGCGGUAAUACGUAGGUCCCGAGCGUUGUCCGGAUUUAUUGGGCGUAAAGCGAGCGCAGGUGGUUUAUUAAGUCUGGUGUAAAAAGCAGUGGCUCAACCAUUGUAUGCAUUGGA
Molecule: ribosomal RNA, 305 nt
Filed under: uncultured bacterium
Lineage: Bacteria
Description: bacterial SSU rRNA
Rfam family: Bacterial small subunit ribosomal RNA
Source: RNAcentral